UACGUAGGGCGCAAGCGUUGUCCGGAAUUAUUGGGCGUAAAGAGCUCGUAGGUGGUUUGUCACGUUGUUCGUGAAAACCCACAGCUCAACUGUGGGCGUGCGAGCGAUACGGGCAGACUAGAGUACUGCAGGGGAGACUGGAAUUCCUGGUGUAGCGGUGGAAUGCGCAGAUAUCAGGAGGAACACCAAUAGCGAAGGCAGCUCGCUGGGACGUACUGACACUGAGGCGCGAAAGCGUGGGGAGCGAACAGG
This 252-nucleotide ribosomal RNA is filed under the name uncultured bacterium. RNAcentral describes it as "partial 16S ribosomal RNA". It matches the Rfam family "Bacterial small subunit ribosomal RNA", at positions 524 to 776 of the family's 1533-position model. The record is from RNAcentral.